GAUCAUAGCUCAGGACGAACGCUGGCGGCGCGCCUAACACAUGCAAGUCGAACGGAGCCUUGCUUUGGAAGUUUUCGGAUGGAAGAAGUUUGGCUUAGUGGCGGACGGGUGAGUAACACGUGAGCAACCUGCCCUUCAGAGGGGGAUAACAGUUGGAAACGACUGCUAAUACCGCAUGAAGUUGCGGGGCCGCAUGGCCCUGCAACCAAAGGAGCAAUCCGCUGAGGGAUGGGCUCGCGUCCGA
This 244-nucleotide ribosomal RNA is filed under the name uncultured bacterium. RNAcentral describes it as "partial 16S ribosomal RNA". It matches the Rfam family "Bacterial small subunit ribosomal RNA", at positions 15 to 240 of the family's 1533-position model. The record is from RNAcentral.